CCCUGCCGGAGCUUAUAGUUCUCUGUAUUUCAGCACUCUAUACUUCUAAUGGAGUACUAUGCAUUGAUGUUUUUAUUUUAUUAUUCAGCAGUCUGACCAACAUGGUUGGGGCAGGGGGUUGCCCCAUGUGUGAAGAAUUUGAAUUGUGAAAAAUAUGUCUGGAUUAUGUUCUGAAAAUCGAGAUGAGAGAAGGUUAAGUAAAGGCUUGGAUUUGAUAAGCAGACUAAAUGACAUAAUUGAGUUACUUCAGCGUAUGUUCUCUAGAUUUCGUCAUGAUUGACAAUCUCACCUUGGGUUAACCUUAUACUACUAGUUGAUAUUUAAGGAGUUGAUAUUUAAGGCGUGCUGAACUGAAUUGGUUAACUGAUUAAAUGUUUUUGUCAAAAGAAAAAUAUUUUAUGACAGGAAGGAGAACAUACUCUGAUUAAAUCAUAAGAUUAGAAAAUGAAGAGUUAUGGUUCCCUAUUUUCAGCUGGCUAUUCAGCAUCCUGCUUUCUGGCCUCGUCACCUCCAUAGAGCAUAACCUUUGCCUGCUAGAAUUGUCAAUUUGUCACGCAAAGAACAUAAAAUUUUUCAUAAUACACUGGGAAAAUUUUAAUAUUUCACUGUGUUCAAAUUGGAUUAUUGGGUCAUUCUAAUUUGAGUGGUGAACUAGAAAUACCUAGCUUCAUGAAAUACAUUAUUCUUGCUCACCGAUUGCCAAUCCUACAUCAACAUGGAUGUCUUCAUUCGAUUGAUUUGAUGGUUCACAUGCCACAAUUGUCCAAAUUGAAUGUCAUGGGAGCAACGUGGAAGUGAUGUUAUAAUUGUGAGACCAAAAGUGGUUUUGGCAUGCUAUAAAUGUGUCAAUCUGUUUACUAUCUGAACACGAUUGGUAAACCCAAAUCUUCCUAACUUCACAUUUUGUUGUGUCGUCUAAAAAUUUCAUGUCAAGAAUUGCCACCCUUACUACCUGUGCUGUGUCAAUUAUUUAAUGUUCUGUUACUUGCAAUGUUAUCUCUGGUUGGUGUGUGUUUUCAUCGUAUAAUAUGGGUUUCAACCAUGACUCUAAUGUCAAUAUUGUCCAGUUGCAAACUUUUGAAGGUGCUAUCGAAUACUACGUACAAGUUUAUAUUUUUAGAAUAACGCUACCUUUUGAUGUUUAACUAUUAUUGGCAUUUACUCCUUAUUACUCAAAAUAUUCUGAAUUAUAUAACUGGCGCCAUAAGCCUAUGCCAUUUGGCUUGAAUUUGAUCUUAUCUGAGUAUCAAUGGGUUAAAGGAGGGGGUGACCUUUGUACUUUAAUGUGAAACUAAUGACUAGAUGAAAGAAUAGUAUCUUUAUUAUUAUUAUUUUUUAAUAUUAUAAGUUGAAAUUGGUGACCAUUGACCUUCUUGGUUUGAGCUGGUUAGCUAUGAGCAACCUAGGUUGGUUUACCUCUUUGUGGUCCUUUGCCUAGGGUCACAAGGCGGGGUUUACCCAAUCUACACCCUCGGGUAGUGCCUGCGGGUUUCUAUUGUCACUCAAAAAAUGGUGUCUUUCUUUUGUAUUUAAUGUUUGUUAUAUUUUUCACUGCUAUAUGGAGUUGGACUGAGAAUUGUUGAGUAAGUUCAGUUCAAAUAGUGAUAUAAUCUUUGAAGACUGUUUUUUGAUUCACAAAA
Ipomoea triloba (trilobed morning glory) is the source of this 1640-nucleotide long non-coding RNA. RefSeq lists it as uncharacterized. NCBI's taxonomy places the organism in Eukaryota, Viridiplantae, Streptophyta, Magnoliopsida, Solanales, Convolvulaceae. The record is from RefSeq and is a predicted model, not a curated record. The transcript is spliced from 2 exons.